RNAcentral lists this ribosomal RNA (590 nucleotides) under Clostridium botulinum. RNAcentral's name for it is "bacterial SSU rRNA". It matches the Rfam family "Bacterial small subunit ribosomal RNA", at positions 1 to 606 of the family's 1533-position model. Lineage: Bacteria; Bacillati; Bacillota; Clostridia; Eubacteriales; Clostridiaceae. The record is from RNAcentral.
UUUAAAUUUAGAGUUUGAUCCUGGCUCAGGACGAACGCUGGCGGCGUGCUUAACACAUGCAAGUCGAGCGAUGAAGCUUCCUUCGGAAAGUGGAUUAGCGGCGGACGGGUGAGUAACACGUGGGUAACCUGCCUCAAAGUGGGGGAUAGCCUUCCGAAAGGAAGAUUAAUACCGCAUAAUAUAAGAGAAUCGCAUGAUUUUUUUAUCAAAGAUUUAUUGCUUUGAGAUGGACCCGCGGCGCAUUAGCUAGUUGGUAAGGUAACGGCUUACCAAGGCAACGAUGCGUAGCCGACCUGAGAGGGUGAUCGGCCACAUUGGAACUGAGACACGGUCCAGACUCCUACGGGAGGCAGCAGUGGGGAAUAUUGCGCAAUGGGGGAAACCCUGACGCAGCAACGCCGCGUGGGUGAUGAAGGUCUUCGGAUUGUAAAGCCCUGUUUUCUGGGACGAUAAUGACGGUACCAGAGGAGGAAGCCACGGCUAACUACGUGCCAGCAGCCGCGGUAAUACGUAGGUGGCGAGCGUUGUCCGGAUUUACUGGGCGUAAAGGGUGCGUAGGCGGAUGUUUAAGUGGGAUGUGAAAUCCCCGG